This 74-nucleotide transfer RNA is filed under the name Bryobacterales bacterium. RNAcentral describes it as "tRNA-Gln". It matches the Rfam family "tRNA". From Rfam's summary of the family: Transfer RNA (tRNA) molecules are approximately 80 nucleotides in length. Their secondary structure includes four short double-helical elements and three loops (D, anti-codon, and T loops). Further hydrogen bonds mediate the characteristic L-shaped molecular structure. tRNAs have two regions of fundamental functional importance: the anti-codon, which is responsible for specific mRNA codon recognition, and the 3' end, to which the tRNAs corresponding amino acid is attached (by aminoacyl-tRNA synthetases). tRNAs cope with the degeneracy of the genetic code in two manners: having more than one tRNA (with a specific anti-codon) for a particular amino acid; and 'wobble' base-pairing, i.e. permitting non-standard base-pairing at the 3rd anti-codon position. Lineage: Bacteria; Pseudomonadati; Acidobacteriota; Terriglobia; Bryobacterales. The record is from RNAcentral.
UCCCCGAUCGUCUAAUGGUAGGACACCGGCCUUUGACGCCGUGAAUCGUGGUUCGAGCCCAUGUCGGGGAGCCA